RNAcentral lists this ribosomal RNA (388 nucleotides) under uncultured bacterium. RNAcentral's name for it is "bacterial SSU rRNA". It matches the Rfam family "Bacterial small subunit ribosomal RNA", at positions 28 to 417 of the family's 1533-position model. The record is from RNAcentral.
GACGAACGCUGGCGGCGUGCUUAACACAUGCAAUUCGAGCGGUAAGGCCCUUUCGGGGGUACACGAGCGGCGAACGGGUGAGUAACACGUGGGUGACCUGCCCUCAGCUCUGGGAUAAGCCUGGGAAACCGGGUCUAAUACCGGAUAUGACUCCAUGACGCAUGUUGUGGGGUGGAAAGCCUUGUGCGGCUGAGGAUGGGCCCGCGGCCUAUCAGCUUGUUGGUGGGGUGANGGCCUACCAAGGCGACGACGGGUAGCCGGCCUGAGAGGGCGACCGGCCACACUGGGACUGAGACACGGCCCAGACUCCUACGGGAGGCAGCAGUGGGGAAUCUUGCGCAAUGGGCGAAAGCCUGACGCAGCGACGCCGCGUGAGGGAUGACGGCCU